This is a long non-coding RNA of Pocillopora damicornis (cauliflower coral), 724 nucleotides long. RefSeq lists it as uncharacterized. The record is from RefSeq and is a predicted model, not a curated record. Lineage: Eukaryota; Metazoa; Cnidaria; Anthozoa; Scleractinia; Pocilloporidae.
AAAGAUAAUUAAGUUUUGUCGAGGGAAGUCGAUUGCUGUAGAUCAGACAUAUCAGCGGUUUUAAAAGAUAGAAGAAGAAGUUGUGUCAUGAAGUCGUCCAGACCUCUCUUCGUUUUCCUGUUCAUCUUACUCCUCUGUAAUUUAAUUAUGACAAUCAACUCCGAAAGCAAUAAACCUUUUCGAUUUCACUCCCGUCGUUGGAUUCUGCGAAGAAAUAAACAAAAAAAGCCAGAUACCAAGAGCAAUGGGAAAAGAUAUGUGGGGUCGCUGUCAGAAGACACAAGGAUGGAAACGACAACAAGGGAUUCACCGAAUGUAUCAGAGUUAACGGACGUUGUUUUUAUUUGAAGAAAGACAUAGUCAGGAGAGGAAGGAUGACAAACUAUAGAAUAUGUUAAAACAUAGGAAUACUAAUUUACUUGCAAAUCAGUGAACAUUUUAAUAUGAUUGUUCAUUUUAUCGAUGCCCUAAUUAUAUGUCGCUAAAACUUCGCUACUUGAAGAGAACGCGGCCACUGAUUUGUUAUCUUAAAUGAGGGAGUCAUAAACAAGCCACGGUACGCUACAAAUGUAAGGGCUAGUAUUUGCCUAAAAAUUCAGCAUUGGAGCUAUUGAUAAUUUCUUAAACGCGUAGUAGAGAAGAAGUUGUAAGUGCUUCAUGGGGACCGUCUUGAUAAAGUAUACCUAAGUGCUACAAAUAAAAAUUUAAGUCUUUGGAAAAGUUA